RNAcentral lists this ribosomal RNA (773 nucleotides) under uncultured Neocallimastigales. RNAcentral describes it as "partial large subunit ribosomal RNA". It matches the Rfam family "Eukaryotic large subunit ribosomal RNA", at positions 22 to 621 of the family's 3401-position model. Lineage: Eukaryota; Fungi; Neocallimastigomycota; Neocallimastigomycetes; Neocallimastigales. The record is from RNAcentral.
AUAUCAGUCAUGCAUAGCAUAUCAAUAAGCGGAGGAAAAGAAACUAACAAGGAUUCCCUUAGUAACGGCGAGUGAAGCGGGAAGAGCUCAAAUUUGAAUCUUCAAGGUUUUACCUUGACGAAUUGUAGUUUAAAGAAGUGUUUUCUGUUGAAGUUUUGGUAAAAGUUCUUUGGAAUAGGACAUCAUAGAGGGUGAGAAUCCCGUAUUUGACCAUUACUUUCAGCUUUGUGAUACACUUUCAAAGAGUCGGAUUGUUUGGGAAUGCAGUCCAAAAUGGGUGGUAAAUUUCAUCUAAAGCUAAAUAUUGGCGAGAGACCGAUAGCGAACAAGUACCGUGAGGGAAAGAUGAAAAGAACUUUGAAAAGAGAGUUAAACAGUACGUGAAAUUGUCAAAAGGGAAGCGUUUGACACCAGUGUUGUUUUCUCGAAAAUCAAUUAAAAAGAGUCGGAUUUUGUGUUGUAUUGACUUUAUCGGCUUUCUUCACUCUUUUCCAGCUUUUUUUAAUGCACUUUUCGUUUAACAAGUCAACAUCAGUUUCUUUUGUUGUAAAAAGGUCAUUGGAAGGUGGCUUUCUCUUCGGAGAAAGUGUUUAUAGCCUUUGACUCAUGCAAUCGGAGAGACUGAGGUCUGCAGCGUAGAUCCUUCGGGGUUAGAUACAUUUGUGCUAAGUUAUAGCUUUUCAUAGACAACUUGUUGACUAUGUUUAGUCUUGUAGCUUACUCGCUUAUGCUAUUUUACCUACGCUUAGGAUGUUGAACUCUAUCACACACAG